GGGUUGUGAGGUUAAGCGACUAAGCGUACACGGUGGAUGCCCUGGCAGUCAGAGGCGAUGAAGGACGUGCUAAUCUGCGAUAAGCGUCGGUGAGGUGAUAUGAACCGUUAUAACCGGCGAU
RNAcentral lists this ribosomal RNA (121 nucleotides) under Escherichia coli. RNAcentral describes it as "partial 23S ribosomal RNA". It matches the Rfam family "Bacterial large subunit ribosomal RNA", at positions 1 to 111 of the family's 2925-position model. The record is from RNAcentral. Lineage: Bacteria; Pseudomonadati; Pseudomonadota; Gammaproteobacteria; Enterobacterales; Enterobacteriaceae.